This 253-nucleotide ribosomal RNA is filed under the name uncultured bacterium. RNAcentral describes it as "partial 16S ribosomal RNA". It matches the Rfam family "Bacterial small subunit ribosomal RNA", at positions 524 to 776 of the family's 1533-position model. The record is from RNAcentral.
GACAGAGGGUGCAAACGUUGUUCGGAAUUACUGGGCGUAAAGCGCGUGUAGGCGGCCCGGAAAGUCGGAUGUGAAAGCCCUGGGCUUAACCCAGGAAGUGCAUUCGAAACUCCCGGGCUUGAGUUCUGGAGAGGAAGGCGGAAUUCUCGGUGUAGAGGUGAAAUUCGUAGAUAUCGAGAGGAACACCGGUGGCGAAGGCGGCCUUCUGGACAGUGACUGACGCUGAGACGCGAAAGCGUGGGGAGCAAACAGG